GGUAGAACUCAGUGGUAGAGUGUGUGCUUAGCAUGCACAAAGUCCUGGGUUCGAUCCCAAGCACCA
This 66-nucleotide transfer RNA is filed under the name Ictidomys tridecemlineatus (thirteen-lined ground squirrel). Its description in RNAcentral is "Spermophilus tridecemlineatus (thirteen-lined ground squirrel) tRNA". It matches the Rfam family "tRNA". From Rfam's summary of the family: Transfer RNA (tRNA) molecules are approximately 80 nucleotides in length. Their secondary structure includes four short double-helical elements and three loops (D, anti-codon, and T loops). The record is from Rfam by way of RNAcentral. Lineage: Eukaryota; Metazoa; Chordata; Mammalia; Rodentia; Sciuridae.